GACGAACGCUGGCGGCGUGCUUAACACAUGCAAGUCGAACGGUGAAGCGCUUGCCUUUUUGGUGGGUGUGGAUGAGUGGCGAACGGGUGAGUAACACGUGAGUAACCUGCCCCCUUCUUCUGGAUAACCUCAUGAAAGUGGGGCUAAUACGGGGUAUUCCGGGUCUGUCGCAUGGCGGGUUUGGGAAAGAUUGCGCCUUUGGGUGUUUUCGGUGGGGGAUGGGCUCGCGGCCUAUCAGCUUGUUGGUGGGGUGAUGGCCUACCAAGGCGGUGACGGGUAGCCGGCCUGAGAGGGUGGACGGCCACGCUGGGACUGAGACACGGCCCAGACUCCUGCGGGAGGCAGCAGUGGGGAAUAUUGCACAAUGGGCGCAAGCCUGAUGCAGCGACGCCGCGUGAGGGAUGGAGGCCUUCGGGUUGUGAACCUCUUUCGCCAGUGAAGCAGGCCUGCUCCUGUGUGGGUGGGUUGACGGUAGCUGGAUAAGAAGCGCCGGCUAACUACGUG
This 504-nucleotide ribosomal RNA is filed under the name uncultured bacterium. Its description in RNAcentral is "partial 16S ribosomal RNA". It matches the Rfam family "Bacterial small subunit ribosomal RNA", at positions 28 to 507 of the family's 1533-position model. The record is from RNAcentral.